GAUGAAGAACGCAGCGAAAUGCGAUAAGUAGUGUGAAUUGCAGAAUUCCGUGAAUCAUCGAAUCUUUGAACGCACAUUGCGCCUUCUGGUAUUCCGGAAGGCAUGCCUGUUCGAGAGUCAUUAACAACCGUUUCGAUCCCUUUCUUUCAGAAAUUACAAAGAGGAAAAGGGUUUGGUUAUGGUGGAGGAGGGAAAGGGAGCGUUUAGCCUGUAAAAAAAGAGGCUGUGUUCCGCCUCCCCCCCAAAAUUGUACAGGCGGUCGUGUGCGCCCACGCAUCGAGGUGUUGUAAAAGCUGCCACCGCACUUUUCACCUGUGCAGUGCGAGAUUGGCCAGCCGGUUUAAAAACCCCUCCAAACAAUCAAAGGUUGACCUCGGAUCAGGUAGGGAUACCCGCUGAACUUAAGCAUAUCAAUAAGCGGAGGA
Molecule: unclassified non-coding RNA, 425 nt
Filed under: soil metagenome
Description: partial contains 5.8S ribosomal RNA, internal transcribed spacer 2, and large subunit ribosomal RNA
Rfam family: 5.8S ribosomal RNA (bases 1-120)
Source: RNAcentral